UGGGGAAUCUUGGACAAUGGGGGCAACCCUGAUCCAGCAAUGCCGCGUGUGGGAUGAAGGCCUUCGGGUUGUAAACCACUUUUGGCGGGGGCGAAAAUAUCGAGUGCUAAUACCAUUCGGUGAUGACGGUACCCGCAGAAUAAGCACCGGCUAACUACGUGCCAGCAGCCGCGGUAAUACGUAGGGUGCAAGCGUUAAUCGGAAUUACUGGGCGUAAAGCGUGCGCAGGCGGUUAGGUAAGACAGGUGUGAAAUUCCCGGGCUCAACCUGGGAACUGCAUUUGUGACUGCCUGACUAGAGUGCGGCAGAGGGGAGUGGAAUUCCGCGUGUAGCAGUGAAAUGCGUAGAUAUGCGGAGGAACACCGAUGGCGAAGGCAACUCCCUGGGCCUGCACUGACGCUCAUGCACGAAAGCGUGGGGAGCAAACGGAUUANAUNCCCUGGNAGUCCACGCCUAAACGAUGUCGACUAGUUGUUGGACGGGUUACUGUUCAGUAACGAAGCNAACGCG
Molecule: ribosomal RNA, 510 nt
Filed under: uncultured bacterium
Lineage: Bacteria
Description: partial 16S ribosomal RNA
Rfam family: Bacterial small subunit ribosomal RNA
Source: RNAcentral